RNAcentral lists this transfer RNA (76 nucleotides) under Cryptobacterium curtum DSM 15641. RNAcentral's name for it is "tRNA-Arg (CCT) (tRNA-Arg-CCT-1-1)". It matches the Rfam family "tRNA". Rfam says of the family: Transfer RNA (tRNA) molecules are approximately 80 nucleotides in length. Their secondary structure includes four short double-helical elements and three loops (D, anti-codon, and T loops). The record is from RNAcentral. Lineage: Bacteria; Bacillati; Actinomycetota; Coriobacteriia; Eggerthellales; Eggerthellaceae.
GCCUCCGUAGCUCAGGGGAUAGAGCACUGCUCUCCUAAAGCGGGUGUCGCGCGUUCGAAUCGCGCCGGGGGCACCA